Molecule: long non-coding RNA, 1581 nt
Filed under: Crocodylus porosus (Australian saltwater crocodile)
Lineage: Eukaryota; Metazoa; Chordata; Crocodylia; Crocodylidae
Description: lncRNA (ENSCPRG00005013092.1)
Source: RNAcentral
GGAAAGGGGAAGAAAAGUCUAUGCAGAAGAAACAGGCAGAGCCGUUUUCACUCCUCCCUGAUCUUCGUCUCUUUCCAUCACAAGAAUUGCUGUCUGCCAGGCAUUGGAACAGAGCGCCUUUCCUUUCUUAGUGCCUGAGAGACAUGGAUGAGAGCAAGCCACCUGAGGCUCUGUUCAGAUACAACAGAGGUGCUGGUGUGCUUUCGGGGAAAACAACUGAAAGAUAUGAGGAAUGUGUCUCUCCCUUUGACUGGAUAUUUAGGAGGGGUGAUAUUUUUGAUUGGACCAACUGUAUGGUUGGAUGAGGGUAUUCAACUGUUUUUUGCUCUCUUUAGGUGUCUAAUUCAAUCCCCCUGUUUUUAGAUGAGAUUACUAGGCAUAUUUUUUCACCUUAUCUGGGUGGGAGAUGUCAGCUUUUUCUUUGUCAUGUGGAAUAUCUUACUUUGCUUCAUGCUUUCUUGCCUCAGGAUUAGACCAUUGCAACAUGCUCUACUAAUUCAGGAGUCUGGUAUGUCCUCUGCAAGGAUUGGUGCUGGCCUUGCCCCUGGUGGUUCUGGUUCACGCUGCAUGGGCCUAUGCAUGACUACAGUUAAUCUGUCCUGUCUCCCCCGUGACUUGAAAGAGAAGACUUUCAUUGUCUUCCUCGACUCUGACUUGCUGAAAGGGAAGCCAGUAGCUUCAGAGAUGCUCAAGCAAGGAAAUGUCUACAUGUACAAGGCUGUAAGAAAAGGGAAAAGGUAACCAGAGGCUGUGAAGCGAUAUGAUGGAGAGAUAACAGGCAGCAUCAGCCUGAGCCUAAAAAGUGCUGUGCAUCUGCAACUCCUACAUACUUCAGAUCCCACAUGAAAUACAGCAAAUCAACAGGCUGCAAGAGGCCCUUCUUCUGAAUCACUGCAUUUCUGCAACCAUGCAGAGUCUUGCAGAUGUUAUUCUAGACUGCAAAUCCCAAAUACCUUGGGCAGAGCAGGAAGAGGAAGUGAACAGACAGCUCAUGUUGGCUAUGUGCCAGAAAGCCAUGCUCUAGUGUCCCCGGGCUUCUGGCCUGUGGUUGCAUUUCCUGAAUUAAAAAUGAAUGUCUGCCAGUUGUUUCUCAGUUUAAUUUCUGCAGAUUAGACUAAUCUGCAAAGACUGAACCAAAUCAACCUCGGGCUUUUUGACCAUCUGUACUUAGUCUAUGAGGCUUUACUUUGAGACUCUUACUCCUCUUUAAUUUCUCUUUUACAAGCUCUUGCAGAAUUAGUUGUAUUGGACUGUUUGCCUCACUGGAAUUUCUUCUGGAUUCAGGCUUAUGUGGCCUUUGGCACUGCUUUUACUUGACCUUUGACCUUGAAAAAUAAUGUUUCUAGUUAUUCCCUAGCAGACCCUGAGCUGCUGUUUCAGACAAGCUUCUUCCCCAUUAAGGAGAUGAAGUAAAAAAAACUCUCUCUCGGUUCGUUUUCUUUGGAGGCUCAUUGAAUAACAAAUCCUUAGGCACACAUUGUUGGUGAGACAAAAGGUAUAUAUUUGCAAAUAGGGUCAGAGGGAGAAGACAAAAGAUCAAAACCCUCUGCCCCUGAGUACCAUCAUUAGCAGGCUUUUAUC